RNAcentral lists this ribosomal RNA (253 nucleotides) under uncultured bacterium. RNAcentral's name for it is "partial 16S ribosomal RNA". It matches the Rfam family "Bacterial small subunit ribosomal RNA", at positions 524 to 776 of the family's 1533-position model. The record is from RNAcentral.
UACAGAGGGUGCAAGCGUUAAUCGGAGUUACUGGGCGUAAAGGGCGCGUAGGCGGUUUGUUAAGUGAGUUGUGAAAUCCCUGGGCUUAACCUGGGAAUGGCAACUUAAACUGGCGAGCUAGAGUACUGUAGAGGGUAGUGGAAUUUCCGGUGUAGCGGUGAAAUGCGUAGAGAUCGGAAGGAACACCAGUGGCGAAGGCGGCUACCUGGACAGAUACUGACGCUGAGGCGCGAGAGCGUGGGGAGCAAACAGG